This 420-nucleotide ribosomal RNA is filed under the name Lentibacillus sp. RNAcentral's name for it is "bacterial SSU rRNA". It matches the Rfam family "Bacterial small subunit ribosomal RNA", at positions 51 to 444 of the family's 1533-position model. The record is from RNAcentral. Lineage: Bacteria; Bacillati; Bacillota; Bacilli; Caryophanales; Bacillaceae.
AUACAUGCAGUCGUGACGCGGGAACCAGUACAAUCGCCCUUCGGGGCGUGCGUCUGUGGAACGAGCGGCGGACGGGUGAGUAACACGUGGGCAACCUGCCCGAAAGACCGGGAUAACUUGCGGAAACGUGAGCUAAUACCGGAUAAUGUCUUUCCUCGCAUGAGGGAGGGCUGAAAGACGGCCUUUGUGCUGUCACUUACAAAUGGGCCCGCGGCGCAUUAGUUAGUUGGUGAGGUAAGAGCUCACCAAGGCGACGAUGCGUAGCCGACCUGAGAGGGUGAUCGGCCACACUGGGACUGAAACACGGCCCAGACUCCUACGGGAGGCAGCAGUAGGGAAUCUUCCGCAAUGGACGAAAGUCUGACGGAGCAGCGCCGCGUGAGUGAUGAAGGUCUUCGGAUCGAAACUCUGUUGUCAGGG